CCCCCCUCUAACCCCUCCCAUCUCCUUCCUGCUCAGCAGAUUACCUCAGUUUUAGUUUUGUGCCUGAGGAGUACAGGCACAGAUUCCUUCAGUGUAGAUUUUAGUUAGGUUUCUGUUGUUUAUUUUGAUUUUACUUAUGUGUGCUUAGUCCCUGUUUACAGGAGACACGUAUACUAGGAGUGGGGUUAGUUAGUUAUGUGUCUCCCACUCCCCAGAGCCUCUAAGAAGCCACCAUAAUAUUAGUCACUGGGGCUUACUUGAUGCAGGAUGGAUUUCCUAGGAGGCACUGUACUGUCUGGAUACGGGCACUGUGGUGACGUCCGUAUCCGACGCCUGACAGCGGGAGACGCCGUAGACCCGGCAGGAGAUUCGUGGUGAUGGGUGCACUAUAUAGGGACAUGCAGCAACACUGUCAACACAGUACUAGCAGGAGGAGGCGGUCCAGCCAAUCCAGCGCCUCUUCUCACCUUUUCUUCUCUCUGAUGCUGUUGCCCGACGUCACAAUCCAAUGGAAACCAGAAGAGGGGAACCGCUGCUGCCAGUGCUGAAAGGGGCAACCGCCGCUGCCUAAGAGUAUACAGCCUGGUCAGCACAUGUCACAUUAUCUCCACGGGACGCCGUUGGGGCUCAUUCACGCACGGCAGACUAGAAGGCACAAGAUUUGCAAGCCUACAUUAAGGGGUGGCUAAACAGCGCCAUACAAGUACCACCACCACCUGCCCGCCCGCAGCCACCCCAGGCCCAGGAGGAGGAGGCACCAGGCCCCAGCUCAGGUGUACUAUCACCACCUGCCAGCCCGCACCCACCUCAGGGCAAGGAGGAGAAGGCCCCGCCAGGCCCCAUCUCAUCCGAAAUCAUCAUGGUGGCAUAGAAGGCAGAGGAGGAGGAGAUCUCAGCCCAGUCCAGUAAAUAUAUUUUGGACAUUCUUUAACUCGCUGUGGAGUAUUCACUUGUGGAAGGAGUGAGUUGCUGUGCAGGACGCUACCCUAGAGGAUUAUGCAUAAAGAUACCUUUCAAUAGGGUAUAUUCUCUAGGUCUGUUUAUAAAAACCAAUAAAAAAUGCUCAAAUAAAACCAAAAAGAAUAAACAUUUAAAGAAUAUUGA
Pseudophryne corroboree (corroboree frog) is the source of this 1104-nucleotide long non-coding RNA. RefSeq lists it as uncharacterized. The record is from RefSeq and is a predicted model, not a curated record. The transcript has 10 exons. NCBI's taxonomy places the organism in Eukaryota, Metazoa, Chordata, Amphibia, Anura, Myobatrachidae.